UCCUCCAGGACCCCGGUGCUGUGGCAAGCCCCGCCCCCUGGACACACCUGAGGCUCCAGACUGCAUAAGGGUUCGGUCAGAUCCUCAAACAUCCUGCAGACAGACAGCCUCCACAGGCUCUCCGUCUCCCUCUUCAGGCCGAGCAGAGAAUCGCUGCAGCUCUCAGUCAGCUUCAGGAUGCCGGAGUGGCUGUCAGACAACACCUGGACAGGCGGUCCAUGCGCUGGUCCAGAGCCCCCUGGUUCCUCUUCAGCGAAUCGGCCUCCAGCCUCAGGUUGUGGGCGUGGCCUG
Poeciliopsis prolifica (blackstripe livebearer) is the source of this 291-nucleotide long non-coding RNA. RefSeq lists it as uncharacterized. The record is from RefSeq and is a predicted model, not a curated record. Lineage: Eukaryota; Metazoa; Chordata; Actinopteri; Cyprinodontiformes; Poeciliidae. The transcript is spliced from 3 exons.